AGGGUUUGAUCAUGGCUCAGGAUGAACGCUGGCGGCGUGCCUAAUACAUGCAAGUCGAACGCAUAUCUUCGGAUAUGAGUGGCGAACGGGUGAGUAAUACAUAAGUAACCUGCCCUUUCGAGGGGGAUAACUAUUAGAAAUGAUAGCUAAGACCGCAUAGGUAUAUGAAUCGCAUGAAGCAUAUAUUAAAUAUCCUACGGGAUAGCGAAAGGAUGGACUUAUGGCGCAUUAGCUAGUUGGUAAGGUAAUGGCUUACCAAGGCGACGAUGCGUAGCCGACCUGAGAGGGUGGACGGCCACACUGGGACUGAGACACGGCCCAG
Molecule: ribosomal RNA, 322 nt
Filed under: uncultured bacterium
Lineage: Bacteria
Description: bacterial SSU rRNA
Rfam family: Bacterial small subunit ribosomal RNA
Source: RNAcentral